GGAUCCCAAAUCCUGCGAAUUCCAGAUGUGGCCAUCCCAAACUGGACAUUAGCAUACAUUAGCAUACACUAUGCAGAUGUGGCCAUCCCAAAUUGGGUCAUUAGCAUACACUAUGCAGAUGUGGCCAUCCCAAACUGUGAAAUUUGCAUACACUAUGCAGAUGUGGCCAUCCCACACCGGGUCAUUAGCAUACACUAUGCAGAUGUGGCCAUCCCAAACUGGACAUUAGCAUACAUUAGCAUACACUAUGCAGAUGUGGCCAUCCCACACCGGGUCAUUAGCAUACACUAUGCAGAUGUGGCCAUCCCAAACUGGACAUUAGCAUACAUUAGCAUACACUAUGCAGAUGUGGCCAUCCCAAACUGGACAUUUGCAUACAUUAGCAUACACUAUGCAGAUGUGGCCAUCCCAAAUUGGGUCAUUAGCAUACACUAUGCAGAUGUGGCCAUCCCAAACUGGACAUUAGCAUACAUUAGCAUACACUAUGCAGAUGUGGCCAUCCCAAACUGGACAUUAGCAUACAUUAGCAUACACUAUGCAGAUGUGGCCAUCCCAAACUGGACAUUAGCAUACAUUAGCAUACACUAUGCAGAGGUGGCCAUCCCAAAUUGGGUCAUUAGCAUACACUAUGCAGAUGUGGCCAUCCCAAACUGGACAUUAGCAUACAUUUGCAUACACUAUGCAGAUGUGGCCAUCCCAAACUGGACAUUAGCAUACAUUAGCAUACACUAUGCAGAUGUGGCCAUCCCAAACCGGGUCAUUAGCAUACACUAUGCAGAUGUGGCCAUCCCAAACUGGACAUUAGCAUACAUUAGCAUACACUAUGCAGAUGUGGCCAUCCCAAACUGGACAUUUGCAUACAUUAGCAUACACUAUGCAGAUGUGGCCAUCCCAAAUUGGGUCAUUAGCAUACACUAUGCAGAUGUGGCCAUCCCAAACUGGACAUUAGCAUACAUUAGCAUACACUAUGCAGAUGUGGCCAUCCCAAACUGGACAUUAGCAUACAUUAGCAUACACUAUGCAGAUGUGGCCAUCCCAAACUGGACAUUAGCAUACAUUAGCAUACACUAUGCAGAGGUGGCCAUCCCAAAUUGGGUCAUUAGCAUACACUAUGCAGAUGUGGCCAUCCCAAACUGGACAUUAGCAUACAUUUGCAUACACUAUGCAGAUGUGGCCAUCCCAAACUGGACAUUAGCAUACAUUAGCAUACACUAUGCAGAUGUGGCCAUCCCAAACCGGGUCAUUAGCAUACAUUAG
This 1257-nucleotide long non-coding RNA is filed under the name Taeniopygia guttata (zebra finch). RNAcentral describes it as "lncRNA (ENSTGUG00000028239.1)". The record is from RNAcentral. Lineage: Eukaryota; Metazoa; Chordata; Aves; Passeriformes; Estrildidae.